Molecule: ribosomal RNA, 433 nt
Filed under: uncultured bacterium
Lineage: Bacteria
Description: partial 16S ribosomal RNA
Rfam family: Bacterial small subunit ribosomal RNA
Source: RNAcentral
AACGAACGCUGGCGGCAUGCCUAACACAUGCAAGUCGAACGAGACCUUCGGGUCUAGUGGCGCACGGGUGCGUAACGCGUGGGAACCUGCCCUUAGGUUCGGAAUAACUCCCCGAAAGGGGUGCUAAUACCGGAUAAUGUCUUCGGACCAAAGAUUUAUCGCCUUUGGAUGGGCCCGCGUUGGAUUAGCUAGUUGGUAGGGUAAAAGCCUACCAAGGCGACGAUCCAUAGCUGGUCUGUGAGGAUGAUCAGCCACACUGGGACUGAGACACGGCCCAGACUCCUACGGGAGGCAGCAGUGGGGAAUAUUGGACAAUGGGCGAAAGCCUGAUCCAGCAAUGCCGCGUGAGUGAUGAAGGCCUUAGGGUUGUAAAGCUCUUUUACCCGGGAUGAUAAUGACAGUACCGGGAGAAUAAGCCCCGGCUAACUCCGUG